GUGACCUCAAAUCAGGUAGGACUACCCGCUGAACUUAAGCAUAUCAAUAAGCGGAGGAAAAGAAACUAACAAGGAUUCCCCUAGUAACUGCGAGUGAAGCGGGAAAAGCUCAAAUUUAAAAUCUGGCAGUCUCCGGCUGUCCGAGUUGUAAUCUAGAGAAGUGUUAUCCGCGUUGGACCGUGUACAAGUCUCCUGGAAUGGAGCAUCAUAGAGGGUGAGAAUCCCGUCUUUGACACGGACUGCCAGGGCUUUGUGAUGCGCUCUCAAAGAGUCGAGUUGUUUGGGAAUGCAGCUCAAAAUGGGUGGUAAAUUCCAUCUAAAGCUAAAUAUUGGCGAGAGACCGAUAGCGAACAAGUACCGUGAGGGAAAGAUGAAAAGAACUUUGGAAAGAGAGUUAAACAGUACGUGAAAUUGCUGAAAGGGAAACGCUUGAAGUCAGUCGCGUUGAUCAGGGAUCAACCUUGCUUUUGCUUGGUGCACUUUCUGGUUAAUGGGUCAGCAUCAAUUUUGACCAUUGGAAAAAGGUCAGGGGAAUGUGGCAUCUUCAGAUGUGUUUAUAGCCCUUGGUUGCAUACAAUGGUUGGGAUUGAGGAACUCAGCACGCCGAAAGGCCGGGUUGUUU
RNAcentral lists this ribosomal RNA (622 nucleotides) under Aureonarius limonius. Its description in RNAcentral is "eukaryotic LSU rRNA". It matches the Rfam family "Eukaryotic large subunit ribosomal RNA", at positions 1 to 628 of the family's 3401-position model. Lineage: Eukaryota; Fungi; Basidiomycota; Agaricomycetes; Agaricales; Cortinariaceae. The record is from RNAcentral. RNAcentral also lists the same sequence under 1 other name.